GAUGAACGCUAGCUACAGGCUUAACACAUGCAAGUCGAGGGGCAGCGGGAUUGAAGCUUGCUUCAAUUGCCGGCGACCGGCGCACGGGUGAGUAACGCGUAUCCAACCUUCCGUACACUCAGGGAUAGCCUUUCGAAAGAAAGAUUAAUACCUGAUGGUAUGAUGAGAUUGCAUGAUAUCAUCAUUAAAGAUUUAUCGGUGUACGAUGGGGAUGCGUUCCAUUAGGUAGUAGGCGGGGUAACGGCCCACCUAGCCAACGAUGGAUAGGGGUUCUGAGAGGAAGGUCCCCCACAUUGGAACUGAGACACGGUCCAAACUCCUACGGGAGGCAGCAGUGAGGAAUAUUGGUAAAUGGACGAGAGUCUGAACCAGCCAAGUAGCGUGAAGGAUGAAGGUCCUACGGAUUGUAAACUUCUUUUAUAAGGGAAUAAACCCUCCCACGUGUGGGAGCUUGUAUGUACCUUAUGAAUAAGCAUCGGCUAACUCCGUG
RNAcentral lists this ribosomal RNA (490 nucleotides) under uncultured bacterium. RNAcentral describes it as "partial 16S ribosomal RNA". It matches the Rfam family "Bacterial small subunit ribosomal RNA", at positions 28 to 507 of the family's 1533-position model. The record is from RNAcentral.